This 615-nucleotide ribosomal RNA is filed under the name uncultured Legionella sp. RNAcentral's name for it is "bacterial SSU rRNA". It matches the Rfam family "Bacterial small subunit ribosomal RNA", at positions 242 to 849 of the family's 1533-position model. The record is from RNAcentral. Lineage: Bacteria; Pseudomonadati; Pseudomonadota; Gammaproteobacteria; Legionellales; Legionellaceae.
UAGCUAGUUGGUGGGGUAAGGGCCUACCAAGGCGACGAUCGGUAGCUGGUCUGAGAGGAUGGCCAGCCACACUGGAACUGAGACACGGUCCAGACUCCUACGGGAGGCAGCAGUGGGGAAUAUUGGACAAUGGGGGCAACCCUGAUCCAGCAAUGCCGCGUGUGUGAAGAAGGCCUGAGGGUUGUAAAGCACUUUCAGUGGGAGGAGGGUAUUUAGGUUAAGAGCUAGGAUACUGGACGUUACCCACAGAAGAAGCACCGGCUAACUCCGUGCCAGCAGCCGCGGUAAUACGGAGGGUGCGAGCGUUAAUCGGAAUUACUGGGCGUAAAGGGUGCGUAGGUGGUUAUUUAAGUUAUGUGUAAAAUCCCUGGGCUUAACCUGGGCAGGUCAUAUAAAACUGAGUAACUCGAGUAUGGGAGAGGGUAGUGGAAUUUCCGGUGUAGCGGUGAAAUGCGUAGAGAUCGGAAGGAACACCAGUGGCGAAGGCGGCUACCUGGCCCAAUACUGACACUGAGGCACGAAAGCGUGGGGAGCAAACAGGAUUAGAUACCCUGGUAGUCCACGCUGUAAACGAUGUCAACUAGCUGUUGGUUAUAUGAAUAUAAUUAGUGGCGC